This 237-nucleotide unclassified non-coding RNA is filed under the name uncultured bacterium. RNAcentral describes it as "contains 16S-23S intergenic spacer region". The record is from RNAcentral.
CCUUGGCCGUCAUCUCCGAGGUGGAACAGGCAAUACCAGCAGCACCCAUAUCCUGCAUACCCACCACCGCACCGGUUUUCAGUGCUUCAAGGCUUGCUUCCAAAAGCAGCUUUUCGGUAAAUGGAUCGCCAACCUGUACGCUCGGACGUUUCGCGUCACUUUCUUCGCUGAUUUCUUCCGAGGCAAACGUUGCUCCAUGAAUACCGUCGCGUCCGGUGCUGGAUCCGACAAUAAUGA